CCAAUUAAUAGAGAUUUAUUCAGAAGCAGGCGCUUAUUUUGUUCGAUAUUAUAAAACAUAAAAGAAUCAUCCCUAAGUCCCUAUACUUAACAUAACUUAGAAAUAGUGUCAAUCUUGAGAAUGUACUUGAAGAAAGAACAUUUCACAGACCUUAAUGUAGUCUCCAACUGCCAUGUGCUCUCUUUAACUCCGCGUGUAACUAAACUGUGACUCCAAUAUGCUUGACACAGUACUUAUCCAGGGUUCUUCCAUACUUCGCAUCUCCGCUAGCUGGCCUGAAAAAAGAGCAUGGUGUACUGGAAUAAAUUAAUCUGGCAUACAUCAUUUGAGAGGCACAGUAGCUGAUCUUCUGUUUCUCCUCUUGUCCCACCAGUUAGACUUCCUGGAAUGGUUGUUUGAACCUGCCUAAAUGAAAACAUAGAUAACAAUCAUUUCACCCUCAAGUGCGGAUAAUACUACAUAUGAAAUUAUGUAAAACAUUAUGCAGUACCAAGAGUGUAUUACUGCGGGAAUGAAGAUUCUCUAACUCAGAAAAACUUAACUAUGACCAAACAUCACUAACUAUAAGCUCAUGCCCAGAGCUACUGCUUAUUAGCUAAUCUGUUAUGACUUAUGCGUAAACAUGAUAUUUUUGGAAAAUAAUCAAUAAAUAAACUGACAUACGUCAACCUUUUAUGAAAAGCUACCAUCAUUUAUUUGGUCAUUAAAACAUUCUCUCUUUUCAUUAAAUUUUAAUCUUAUGUGUUACAAACCCAUCAUGAUUCACUCCAUUCCUGCAAGUAUCAUUUUCUCCAACAAAUUUGAGAGUUUUUCCAUCUUCCAAAGGCUUAAUUUACUCAAUAAAUGGCAGAUCUUGUAGUAGCAGGCAGCGAUCAAAGCCUUAUAUCACUUUUAAUAAUAGAAAACAUACGUGAUCUUGGAUAUUAUGUGAUUACAUUUAGUAGGAUGCAACACAAUAUCACUUCCAAUAAUUGGAAACUUACUGGAUCAUUGGAUGUUAUGUUAUCACAUAUUGUUUGAAGGUAUUUGUGCCAUUAACAUGCUUUUUACUUAUUUAGUUUACAUGUUGGGAAAGAUCUAAGAAAUUUCCAAGAUAAAAUUUCUUACCUGCUAGAAGGAUGAGGAGGGUGGCUUAGUACUCAUCCGCUUCACCAUUAGUGGUUUAUCUCCACAAGUGGCCGUGCAUUGCUUUCUUUACAUUGGUUCUGUUUCUUCAUCGAUAGCAAAUAUCUGAAAAUUGAAAAUCUGCAUAUAAAUCAGGUAGUCCACAAAUCCAUUUAUUUGAAUAAUGAUAAUGAAGACAUGGUAUGGGUGACGUCAAACAUUUCCAACAUUUGUUAAAAUUUGGGUGAUCAAUUGAUUUUUAGCAAGUGUGACUGUAUUAAGCAUGGUUGACAGAAACAUGGAUAAAUAGAGAUAGAACAAUAAAUGAGCAAAGUUCAUCAAUUGGCAAUUUGGUUAAUCUAUUUUCACUUGUUAAACACUUAAUUUGACAGCAUAGACAAGUGAAACAAAACUGAGCAUCGGCCCUGUGCAUCCAAAGAGUUUCACUGCAGAUGUACCUUGAAUUGCUAGCUGUAAACUAAAAGGUCAAUUUCAAACGAGGGAAACAGGCAAGGGGUAGUUUAGGUUUUUACAGAAGUCAAUAGCACAUGGUGAAACAUGGUACUCUCGGGAUUGCCUAAAUGUUUUUGCAGGGCAACCAAUAUGCUGUAAUUACACAUAACAUGCAUAACUUAAAGAAAGAAGAAAGAAUUCACUUUAUGAGCAUAC
RNAcentral lists this long non-coding RNA (1773 nucleotides) under Aquilegia coerulea. RNAcentral's name for it is "long non-coding RNA (ACOE_LNC000199)". Lineage: Eukaryota; Viridiplantae; Streptophyta; Magnoliopsida; Ranunculales; Ranunculaceae. The record is from RNAcentral.